ACCGGUCAAGCCUUAGGUGGCCACAAGCGUCGUCACUAUGAAGGCCCUGUUGGUGGUGGUAACAACAAUAGCAGCAGCGCCAUAACCUCAUCGGAAGGUGGCGCAAGCCAGAGUCAGAGUCAAAGUCAAAGCAGAGGCGGCGGCUUCGAAUUUGACCUGAAUUUGCCGGCUGUGCCUGAGUUGAAUGAUUCAAGUAUCACUCGACAACUGUUUAGAGAGCCAGAAGUGGAGAGUCCUCUGGCUGGAAAGAAACCAAGAUUAUCGUUCUUGCUUAAGCAAGAAGAAAACUGAAGUGGGGGUUUCUUUGCAAGAUUGACGAGAUAGAUACAGAGCUUGUAGAUUAGGUUGAUUAGAAAGAUGCUUGAAUUUUUUCGUCUUCAUUGAAAUUAGUUUUUUUUUUUCCAGUUGAAUUCUAUGGUUCCGUAUUGUACAGAAAAAAUUGUUCAUUGUUUGUGAACUUCGCAUCAUGAUUUAUUCAUUCUUUCAAUUUGUUCCAAUCUUUUAGCUUCAAUAAUAAUUAAUUUAAUCUUG
Molecule: unclassified non-coding RNA, 531 nt
Filed under: Hevea brasiliensis (rubber tree)
Lineage: Eukaryota; Viridiplantae; Streptophyta; Magnoliopsida; Malpighiales; Euphorbiaceae
Source: RNAcentral